Gasterosteus aculeatus aculeatus (three-spined stickleback) is the source of this 3528-nucleotide long non-coding RNA. Lineage: Eukaryota; Metazoa; Chordata; Actinopteri; Perciformes; Gasterosteidae. The record is from Ensembl.
CGUUGAGCUCAGCGCGCAGCGGAAAGGACGCACUCGUGGUCGCGCGGCUGUGAUGCGCGGCGGAGGAUCCGCGACGCGGCAAACGCGCUUCACCCAGCAGGUGGAUGUGACGUCACGGACCUGGAACAUCAAAAACAACAACAUCCAAAUCGGCGAUUCUCGCCCUCUCGCAUGUUUUCUCCCCUUCUUCUCCCUCCGUGUAACCAUCUGAACAUCAGCCGAGGAGGAGGAGAGCAGCUCGCGCGUUUCCCCGCCAGCACCGGGAGUCAGCGCGCGCCAAACUCCACGUUUCGCUUCUUUUUCCUCGACGCCCUCCUCGGCGAGACGAGCUUUUUCCUCCUCGUAGUUAAGUUAGUAAGUUAGUCCCCCACCUCCUCCUCCUCCACCGGCACCUCCUCCUCCACCGGCACCUCCACCUCCACCGGCCGCUGUUGACGGUGCGAUCUGUUGUCGCGUGCACGGCUCCGUUAUUGCAUCGGUAGCCCCGCGCGUGUCCACGCGGUUUUUGACCAGGUUCCACACACUGCAGCAGGGAUCUUGGCCCUCUCCUGGAGACGAGCUAGGCCACUCCAGGACCUUCGGCUGCUUCUUUCUCCUUAGCUGCCCCGGCUGUGUGUUUUGGGUCGUCAUGCUGGAAGACUCAGCCAAGACCCAUCUUCAGUGCUCUCACUGAGGGGAGGUUUUUAUCUGGCGAUACAUACAAACACGGCCAGUGGAGUUUAGACUAAAAAGCUCUAUUUUUGUCUCAUUAGACCACAUGACCUUCUCUCGUACCGCCUCUGGAUCAUCCAGAUGCUCAUUGGCAAACUUCAGACAUCUAGACCUGCGCUGGUUUGAGCAGGAGGACCUUGCGUGCGCUGCAGGAUCUUAACCCGUGGCGACGUAGUGUGUCACUAAUGGUGGUCCCAGCUCUCUUCAGCUCAUUGGCCAGCGCCGUGUGCUUCUGGGCUGAUCCCUCACCCUCCUCGUGACCAUUGAUGCCCCACGAGGUGAGAUCUUACAUGGAGCACCAGACCGAGGGAGAUUGGCCGUCAUCUUGAACUUCUUCCAUUUUCUAAUAAUUGCUCAAGCAGCUGUUGGCUUCUCACCAAGCAGCUUGUCUGUUGUCCCGUAGCCCGUCUAGAACUCUCUCCCUGAUGUCCUUACACAGCUCUUGUCCAUUGUGCAGAGUCUGUUUGGUUGACAGGUCUCCUACUGGUUGCUGGAUGACGCAUCGCUGCAGGAAGCAAGCUGAUUUGAGACGCGAUGAAGACAACAAAUAGAAGAAUAACUGAAGCGAGUUGGUUUUGUGUGUGUUGUGGUUUGCGUUGACAUUUGACACCUGCUUCAGGGGAGUGAGGUUCUGACACCUAAUCAGGAUGCGUAUCGUUAGAGCUGUUUAAACCAACAAAACGUAGCAGAUUUAACAUUUAACCAACACUGCCAGAUUCCUGCACACUAUUCCCUGUUCAAGUAAUAACUUAAAGCCUUCUCAAAUAGAGCGGCCCUUGUCUGUUUUGGGAAUGAUGCAGGUAAGCUACAAACAUUCCCACCCAGGCGUGAGGGGGCUCAGCCAGAUGCUCAGCUGCCGGGCCGCACCGCACCACCUGUUUCCAUCAGCUGUCCAGGCGGCCCGGUGGACUUUCUGUCAAAGAUGCAUCAAUGAGUGUUUACACCGAUGGUGCAGUCUCUGAAGUCAAGGAUCGACUCACCUUUGGGACGCGUUCGUGAAAGCCUGGAGGUGUGAUGCACGUUGUCGUCUCUCUUGUUUGCGGCGAUUUAGGUUGUAGCGGUCCGAUCUCGCAAGGCUCCUCUGGUUUAUUUUGUGUUUAAACGCCGUCGCCCGCUCCGCGGUGCUCCGCGCUAAUCGGGCCGCAGGUGGAAUAACGAUGUUGGGCUGAACCAGAGCGGAGAAAGACAAACCAUGAAAAAAAUGCCACUUAAGGCGCGCUAACUCUCGUCGGCAGCUUGAUGUAAAGCCCGGUAGCAGGAGCACGUCUUUAAGGGCCUCAUCCUCCACUUCUGCUCUCAGCUGGCAGUCCCGGCCUAAUAAGAAACACGACAUGGCAGGGCCCGCUCCUCCGUCGUCAUCGCCGCGUGGAAAAGUUGCCGUUGCUUUGAUCAUGUCUUCUGGGCGCAUCACUCCGGCUUAGCCCGCCGCUCGCUACGUGAUAAGCCAUCAGAGCACUCAGAUCUAAGCCGGCAGCUCCACGGGCUCCAGGAGAGACGGGCGGGAGCGCCGGAGACGAGGAGAGAGCGCCGAUGCAAAUUUUGUUGACAGACUGUUGCCGCAGCUGUUCUCUUCUGCCUUUGAAUUCCGCGAUGUUGCUGUCCGUCUUUGCUCGUCUGUGCGGGAAAGGGCCAAGUUGCAAGACUUUCUCUCCUUAUUGUGGAACGGCGCCGUUCUCGUGUGGUGACUCGGCCACGUUGGCAAUAAGAAAUGCCUUUUUAAAAUUCGACUCAUCGAUUACUCGCCUCAAAAAAAGCCCGAGUUCAUUAUUGCACAACGCGUACCGUGCAAGCGCUGCGUUGUCGCGCCGCUCUCGUCCCGUCUGCAUAAAUCAGGCUUUUCUUUGGACCCCCCAUUAUGAAAGGGCGCUCCUAAUUGACGGGAUGUUGCUUGUUUAUUUGAUGUAUAUUUACCGGCUGGGUGGUAAUUGGGGAGCAGUAAUUACCUGAGAUGCAGCCCGGCGCUCCGGCGGAGGUGCUGCCACGCUGAUGAGUGUGGAGCACGGAGGGAAGUUACUGUCGUCGUCCUCGGGGCUGUUUAAAUAUGUGACAGCGGAGAGCCGCGAUGGCUAAUUGGGCCCCGCGUCCCUCGUACGGGUUUCCGUGUUUACCGUGAUGAUGCACGGUGCGAGAUAAAGCGCGGCGCUUUGUGCAAUCUUUUCUUUUUUGCAGGCCCAUUUGUUGCCAACGUACCUGAGCAGUUCAUAGCAACAAUAAAAAGAGUCCCUUCUGGAUAUCGAGGGAAAGUGUUCUCGAGCUACUCGCUCGCCCACGGUGAAGUCAUGCUGACGCCUUCUGCUGUUUGCCAGCUAUUCGUGGAAGGCGGUGACGGUAUCUUCCCAGACUCCAGAUGAUUCAGUUGACCUGAGCCUGGAGACUCCGGCGGCGACGUCCUGUGGAGCCAGAGAUCAAAGGCGAGGAGGCUGUUGCGCCACCUUUGGAUCUGAAGAUUGCUUUUAAAUAAAAGCAAGUCCACACAGCAGGUUUUUUUUUUUUUUUUUUAAAGCCAUGAUGCAAGAAUCUGGGACGGAGGCGACGAGCAACGGAGCGCCUACUCAGAUGGAGGCGCGGGGGCGGAGAGCAGGCCCAGGGAGGCCCGACCCGAGAGCGCCGCGCCGUCGAUGGAGGUGACCGCGGCUGACCUCCUGCAGCUGCAGCAGCACCAGAUAGGCCCGCCCCCCCCAUUCGCACCUGUCUCGGUUUCAUCAAGCCAGGUCAACAGCAGGCUGCUGCCUCCCUCUUAAGGUGCCACUUAAUAUUUAAUCCCACCUCCAAGUACAUCGAGUACAUAAACACAUUAUUAUUAUUAUUUAUGUAUAU